GAUGAACGCUGGCGGCGUGCCUAAUACAUGCAAGUCGAACGAAACUUCUUUAUCACCGAGUGCUUGCACUCACCGAUAAAGAGUUGAGUGGCGAACGGGUGAGUAACACGUGGGCAACCUGCCCAAAAGAGGGGGAUAACACUUGGAAACAGGUGCUAAUACCGCAUAACCAUAGUUACCGCAUGGUAACUAUGUAAAAGGUGGCUAUACUACCGCUUUUGGAUGGGCCCGCGGCGCAUUAGCUAGUUGGUAGGGUAAAGGCUUACCAAGGCAAUGAUGCGUAGCCGAAUUAGGAGGUGGAGCGCCAAAAUUGGGACUGAGCCACGCCCAAAACUCCGACGGGAGGCAGCAGGGGGGAAUCUUCCAAAAGGGGCGAAAGCCUGAUGGAGCAGCGCGGGGGGGGUAAAGAGGGUCUUGGUAUCUUAAACCCCUUUUGUGAGAGAAAAAGGGGGGUGAGAUUAACUUUUCACGUUUGGAGGGUAUCAAAAAAGAAAGCCACGGCUAACUACGGG
This 512-nucleotide ribosomal RNA is filed under the name uncultured bacterium. Its description in RNAcentral is "partial 16S ribosomal RNA". It matches the Rfam family "Bacterial small subunit ribosomal RNA", at positions 28 to 507 of the family's 1533-position model. The record is from RNAcentral.